Molecule: long non-coding RNA, 2181 nt
Organism: Dromaius novaehollandiae (emu)
Lineage: Eukaryota; Metazoa; Chordata; Aves; Casuariiformes; Dromaiidae
Exons: 2
Source: RefSeq, a predicted model, not a curated record
GUCUGGAUUAUAUCCUCUUCUUCAGGACCUUGGAAGAUAACACCUACUGUCACUGCUGGGGCAGUGCUAAUUGCUGGAACAACACCUGUUUCUCAGGGCCCUGAGAAAGAAGGGCAGAACCCGAGGAAUCAAAGCACAUUUGUCAGCAGAAACCGCAACAGUAAAGAUAAGGGAGAAAAGCAGCCUGCCUGGGAACAACGAUGAGACCCAAUAGGGAGCAGGAGACCCCAGACCCAAAAAAUACUAUUGGUCUGAACUACCGCGUGAGGGGUGGGAAACUUAAUUUGAAAAAGCUAUAAUUGCCCAGGGAUUUCUUUGUUCAGGGUCCCUCUUCGGAGGCACCCAGCUCGAGCUGUAACUACUGCACGCGUGUCAUUACAAUUUAUUUAUUUAAUUUGCCUUGAUUUGGCUCCGAAAUUUUCAGCAGGAACCUAGGGUCGGACCCUGCUCGAGUUGUAAUUACUGCACGCGCAUCGCUAAAAUUUACACCCUGGGCGAAGAGGACCAACGGGACGCCGCUGGAUCCACGGGUGAUGAAGAGGGAAUAGUGGACUCAAACUGGUCUGAAGCUGAUGAAUUAGCUGUCACCCAACAAAACUCCCCAGUGCCAAGCGUAUCUGACACUAGCACAUCGCAGCGCUGCUUGGAUGGUCUGCGGGAACAGAUGUGCUCCCGUGUGACAGGCUAACAACUGACAGUGAAAUGCUAUGCCAACACAGUUGAAGUUAUUUUCCAAACUGCUUCACAAUAUAAAGAAUAAUUUCAGAAGAAAUACAAUAGCGCAAGACCUUCUAUCCAGCCUGAACAUACUCUCCUCCUAACCCACGUUUAGGCAAUCGGGAUCUGAAUACAUACUCAACAUGCAUGAACUAUGCAGCUAGUGUUAAACUUUACUAUAAAAACUGCAAGUGUUAGCCUCUGUUGUUAGUGUAAAUCUCCUUGUGGGAAGUGGGAAGACUCUGACUUUCCAAAAGAUUUGGCAGUGAGGGUAUUUAUAUACUGCAGCACACCUUCUCUGCAUAGUCGAAUGUCACAGUUAUUUCUUUAAUUAAAAUUGUUCUAAUGUUUUUUAUGUUCCAGAAGUCUGAAUUCACCCACCCACAAGUUCUGAAUACCUUCAUAAUUUACAUAUAUUAUUGUGAAUCUCCAGAGACUUCAUUUUGCCAACCUAUUUAUGUCUAUAUUUUUAACAGAGCUGUGCAGGGGAGUUAAGCCAAUGAGGCUAUAUAAAAGUAUUAAGGUUUAUAUUUAAAUUUCAUGUGAAUAGGCAAUUUACAUAGAAUUGCACUUUGCUAAAAGCAGAUUGCUGAUUCUUAUGUCUUUGACUUUGAAAAUAACAGAAUUCAAUGUCAGUUUAGCCUACGGUAUGAAUACCCACUUUGGAUAAUCAGUAAUGUCCCAUAAUUGUAUACGAAAAUCAUUUAAUGGUAGUUUCGGCUUCCUAGCUGGGUAGCAAUUCAUUCCAACCAUCCAUAAUUCAAUCAGAUUACAUCUUGUUUUACAUAUUUUAAUAGAUGCUUUCUUCUGGUUAUUUUACAAAUUAUAUAUGCAAAUGAUGUAUUAAAUAAUUAAUGAAGCACCUUGUUUUGCUUGUAGCUACAAGUGAUGCUUUUCUUCACAAAUAUAUUUAGGCAGUAGUUCUCUUCACAGCAAGAUUUUUGCAUAAUAUUUUAAAAGAUAUUUAAACUCUUGCCGUGAUGAAGGCUUAUUUAGAAACACCAAGUAUAAUUUACUAACCUGAUUUAUGAAGCAAUUUAUACAAUCUAUUAAAAUAGCAUUGUAGAAUUUUAUUACAUAGGGAUACUCAUCUUUUUAGAAGAGUCUAAAUUCUUUAACACUUGGGCAACUCUGUAUUAUUACAUUCUAUGAUAGAACAAAGUAUAGCAUGGUAAUUAUCUCUCCUGUUUUAUUAAAGCUUUAUAAAACUGUUAGAGGUUAAUGCCGCAGUUAUUUUUUCCUGCUGCCGAAUUUUACCCUAUAAUACUCAGUGAAAGGGAAAUAGCAUUUAUCUCUUAUUAGACAUAUAGUAAAUGAUGUAAUGGAAUAUUAUGUGUUAUGUAUUUAUCUAAAAUUGUAUAUAUAAAUGUGUAUGUGUGUGUAUUGCAAGGAUACUUUUAAUAAUAAAGAUUUCAUGUUCUGCCCCUUAACCUAUUGCAUAAAAGUGCCAAUGUUUAAGUACUA